RNAcentral lists this ribosomal RNA (1881 nucleotides) under Chenopodium quinoa (quinoa). Its description in RNAcentral is "SSU rRNA". It matches the Rfam family "Eukaryotic small subunit ribosomal RNA". Lineage: Eukaryota; Viridiplantae; Streptophyta; Magnoliopsida; Caryophyllales; Amaranthaceae. The record is from RNAcentral.
UUGAUCUGCCGUAGUCAUUGCUUGUCUCAAAGAUUAAGCCAUGCAUGUGUAAGUAUGAACUAUUCAAGACUGUGGAAACGUGGCGAAUGCGCUCCAUUCCAAACUCCGUUAUAGGUUUGUUUUUUGAUGAUCACCUGCUACUCGGAUUAACCGUAGUAAUUCAAGAAGCUAUACGUGCAACAAACCCCGGGGACUUCUGUUUGAGGGAUGCACUUUAUAUAGAUAAAAGGUCAACGCGGGCUCUGGCCCGUUUGCUCUGAUGAAUCUCAUGAUAAUCGAGACGGACUCGCCACGGCCUUUUGCGCGGCGACGCAUCAUUCAAUUCUGCGCCUAUCAACUUUCGAUGGUGGAUAGUGGCCUACCAUGGUGUGAGAGUGACGGUAGAUUAGGGUUCGAAUUCCGGAGAGGCGAGCCUGAGAAACGGCUACCCACAUCCAAGGAAGGCCAGCAGGCCGCAAAUUACCCAAUCCUGACAGUCGGGGAGGAUAGUGACAAUAAAUAACAAAUCGGGCUCUUGAGUCUGGUAAUUGGGAAUGAGUAACAAUCUAAAUCCCUUAAACGAGGAUCCAUCUGGAGGGCAAAGUCUGGUGCCGAGUAGUCCGUCUGGUAUUUCAUUCCAAGCCUUCCAAUGCGUAUAUAUUACAGUGUUGCAGUUAAAAAGCUCGUAGUUGACUUGGGGUGGUACACGCGUAGGUCCGCCUUUUGGUGUGCGCACCGGCCGUCUUCGCCUCCUUUCGCGGCGAUCGCGCUCCUUUGCGCCUUAACUGGCCGGGUCGUGCCUCGGCACUGUUACUUUGAAGAAAUUAAGGAGUGCUCAAAGCAAGCCUACGCUCUGUAUACAUUAGCAAUGGGAUAAAUUAUAGGAUUCCGGUCUAUUGUUCUGUUUUGCCUUUCGGGAUCGAGUAAUGAUAACAGGGAACAGUCCCGGGGGCAAUUUUCGUAUUUCAUAGUCAAGGUGAAAUUCUUGGAUUUAUGAAAGACGAACAACUGCGAAAGCAUUUGCCAAGGAUGUUUUCAAUUAAUCAAGAACGAAAGUUGGGGGGCUCGAAGAACGAUCAGAUAACCGUCCUAGUCCUGCAACCAUAAAACGAUGCCUGACCAGGGAUCGGCGGAUGUUACUUUUAGGACGCCGCCGGCACCUAUGAAGAAAUCAAAGUUUUUGGUUCGCGGGGGGAGGUAUGGUCGCAAGGCUGAACUUAAAAGAAUUGACGGAAGGGCAAACAACAAGGAGUGGAGCCUGCGGCUUAAUUUGACUCAUACACGGGGAACUUACCAGGUCCAGACAUAGUAAGGAUUGACAGAACUGAGAGCAUCUUUUCUUGAUUCUAUGGGUGGUGGUGCAGUGGCAGUUCUUAGUUGGUGAGCGAUUUGUUCUGGUUAAUUCCGUUACCCGAACGAGACAUCAGCCUGCUAACCUGCUAAUGCGGAGGUUACCUUCGCAGCUAGCUUCUUAGAGGGACUAUGGCCUUUUUAGGCCACGGAAGUUUCAAGGCAAUAAACAGGUCUGUGAUGCCCUUAGAUGUUUCUGGGCCGCACGCGCGCUACACCUGAUGUAUUUCAACGAGUCUAAUAGCCUUGACGCGACAGGUCCGGGUUAAAUCUUUGAAAUUUCAUCGUGAUGGGGAUAGAUAUUGCAAUUGUUGGUCUUCAACGGGAAUUCCUAGUAAAGCGCGAGUCAUCCCCGCUCGCGUUGACUACGUCCCUGCCUCUUUGUACACCCGCCCCGUCGCUCUACCGAUUGCAUGGUCCCGGUGAAGUGUUCGGAUCGCGGACGACGUGGGCGGUUCGCCGCCGGCGACGUCCGAGAAGUUCACUGAACGCGUUAUCAUUUAGAGGAAGGAGAAGUCGUACAAGGUUUUUCCGUAGUGAAACCUGCGUGAA